Molecule: long non-coding RNA, 2005 nt
Filed under: Cotesia glomerata
Lineage: Eukaryota; Metazoa; Arthropoda; Insecta; Hymenoptera; Braconidae
Description: uncharacterized LOC123274674
Source: RNAcentral
AUAACCGAUGUAAGUACAUUCGGUUGCUGAUCCAAUGAAGUACGAGUUUCCCCAGAAGAAACCGUUGGUGAAUCUUCCAGAAGCAUCGUCCGCUGUAAAAGAUUUAAUAUUAAGUAUCAGGCUUACGUAUAUUACGAGAUACCGAGAAAAUAGAGUACGAAGAAAUUACCACAACUCAAGGCACAUAAUCAACUAAAUGAAUCAGGCAUGCAGAUACCAGCAAAAAAUAACCAUCAGUUGGUGGUGACUUGCAAGUAAAAGAAUUCAGCGGUAACUUAUUGUUAGUUUAUUAUUAUUAUUUAAAAAGUGAGAUAACUAAUUGCUGGGUAGAGUUACAUUUAUAAAAGGAGUUCGAAGUUAAAUAAAGAUACUUAAUACAUAAUUAGAUAUUUUCUUACAUCAGAUAAAACGUAAUAGUAAUAACUAGGUAAAUAUUAUAUUUGAAAUAUAGCGCGAAUAAAUUAAGUUAAUAUAAAAAACAUAUUUCCGUGAAAGUUCUUAACAUUUUUUUUUUUACAAUUGAUGAUUCUUCGGCGCGUAACGACCGACUCACGUAAUAAUGCCACAAUAUAGCCUAUUUGUUUAGUAUAUAUCUCUAGAUAUCGAAAAUUAUUAUGCAAUUUUAAUAAUUGCGGCAAUUUUAAAGGAGCCGUACCCGUGGUUGUAGCUGGAGUUGUAGUUGUAGGGGUAUCGGAUCGGUUUAAACUUUCUAUACAUAACAACAUUAUACAUGUAAUGUACUGAAAGUAUCAAAGAAAGAAUCUCUGGGUUUUUUUCAUUAAUCGCGUGAUACUUAGCUACGGAAAAAAUCGAGAAGUGAAAUUCUCUGUACGUCACAGCAUCUCUUUAAUAAAAUUCAAUCUCUCAAACAAGAUUAUUGCUUAAUACACUCUCUUCUUAGAUUUCUUUAUAUAUCUUUCUCGUAUCCCAUUAACCUGUUCUUGGGAUACUCGUUACCUUAAACUCUAAAUUACAGUUUCGAUUUCUUUGCUCCAUUGGCCUCAAAAAAACUAAUAGACUCCUCGGUAGCAUAAACUUUUUUUACUCCUAAGAUUAACUCACUUUUAUACUUCUUCCCUUCUUUGUUACAUAUUCGCUUACACGUAACUUUCGAUGGCCAGUUUCAAGGUCUUUUUAUUUACUUCUUCCCGUAAAAAUAUAAUAUCCGAAGAUUUAAACUUACAAUUAUAAUAAACAAUAAUAAGCUUUUAUUUCUUCUUUUUUGUAAAAAAAAAAUUGUCUUGAGAUAAAAAAAAUAUCCACUAAAUUGCUAUCUUUUACCAUCAUUAUUAUCAUAAUCAUAAAAAAUUAUCAUAUAAAAAAUUACAGUUAUAAUUUAUGUAUAUAUCUGCACACGAUGUUAAAAGAAUGAGCUUGCCCGCUAAAAGUGAAACCUUAAAAUGAAAGUAGGUAAACGAAGACGGGCCCACUGGACAACUGGGUGUCCCCUUUUUUCUUUCUAUUAUAAUUGAAUUAAUAUUACUUUAUGUUUGCAUAUUUGUGUCUAUAAAUAGUUUCUCUUUCUCCUAUUAGCUAUUAGCCAGCUGAUAAAAUAAUUUUAGACUUUUUUUUUUGCAAAUAUUUCGUAACUCAUUCGUACGAUGACAUUUGGUAAACGCAGAAUCAUUUAACUAUGGACCAUGACGGGAGUAAGUUCUUGAUCGGGUAGAGCAACCUAUACGUAUUAUAGCAUCACUUCCUACCGCAAUUCUAUCAUCAGUGAAAGCGUGCUUAUAAUCUUUUCAGGCUCAACUGGUUGUCGCCGCUUAAUUACCAAUAAUCCCGCGCAAAUAUCUGCUUCUUAGCUUCAAGUUAAAUAAUCAGCGGCAAUAUAGUUAUCAAUUUUAAAAGUCUUAUCUAAUAGCUUUCAAAAAUAUUUAUUGUAAUGAUAAUGAUAAUUAAAAUUUUAUACCUUUAAGAGCCCAAAGCUCUUGGUUCCUCAGCCCUUUGACAAAUCGCGUAAUAUCCUUAGCACAUUGUGGAUUCACAGGGUAUUCAUUUUCUU